ACAUAAAGUUACAAUAAAACAGAAAAUUUCGUACGUGGGUAACACAUCAGUGAUUGAUAUGAAAAAAAUAUUUUAUAUGAUGACUUUGUGUAAUUUGGUAGGUCUUGCAGUGAAAUCAACGUCUCGUAUACGAUUUAUUAUUCAUUAUCGGUCGCUGUAGAAAUAACAUCCAACAUAUCGCAGGAAAAAAUCCACCGGACAUCAGAGCCUUUGAUCAACUGCUGCUACCAAACAAUGCUCCUCAGUGUCCACGUUGCUAUUCAACAUUUCACUAGGCAUGUCAUCAUUUAAUAUGAUGUGAAAAUAAAAUAAAAUUCCAUGAAACUAUU
Malaya genurostris is the source of this 329-nucleotide long non-coding RNA. RefSeq lists it as uncharacterized. Lineage: Eukaryota; Metazoa; Arthropoda; Insecta; Diptera; Culicidae. The transcript is spliced from 3 exons. The record is from RefSeq and is a predicted model, not a curated record.